RNAcentral lists this ribozyme (113 nucleotides) under Aedes aegypti (yellow fever mosquito). Its description in RNAcentral is "drz-agam-1 ribozyme". It matches the Rfam family "drz-agam-1 ribozyme". Lineage: Eukaryota; Metazoa; Arthropoda; Insecta; Diptera; Culicidae. The record is from Rfam by way of RNAcentral.
UGCCCAGCAACUCCUAUCCCUACCUCCUCGUAUUGGCCGGGGUACGAGCAACCUUAGGGAAGAUCGGGUAACCAACCCCGUUGGGAACAUGGAUCGUUUGUCGACAGAGAAGG